RNAcentral lists this long non-coding RNA (884 nucleotides) under Homo sapiens (human). RNAcentral's name for it is "HSALNT0147054". Lineage: Eukaryota; Metazoa; Chordata; Mammalia; Primates; Hominidae. The record is from RNAcentral.
GAGGGAGGCACCAGGGAACUUCCCUCCCUCACUUGAGCACAAUCCAAGAUGAAAGUUUCUGGGUUGUGUCCCCUUCGCUUCCUCUCACCCUCGCUCCCCCGCGGAGCCAAGGAGCCAGCAAUUGUGCAAGAGGAGACCGGCGCACAGGGCGCGUAUCACGGAGCGCAUGGUACGAGCCGCCGGCUCCGGUGAUUAAUUAUCAGUAACCGAUGGCCUCGCGCUACCACGUCGGCUUUCCCAGCAGAGCCAGCAAGCCGAACGCCUCCAGCGCGGCCGGGACGGAGGAGCGGCUCUGGGGAAGACGCCGAGGCUGCGCCCGACAGAGGGCUGGCUGGCAAGGAGGAGCGGAGCGGAGGAGCGAGGACCGAGCAGCACAGCCCGCCACGCACGCCGACUCCUCCAGCAACCCUCGGCGCUGGCAGCCAAGCCUGCACAGCCUCGUCUCUCUUCUCAGGUCUGAACGAAGCUGCCUCCAGCCACAUGAAGUCAGUAGGGCUGUUCUGAGGGGCCCCGAGAUUUGAUGACUGUUUUUUAGGUUGCGGAACCUACUCCGAGAGAGCAAACACUUUGGACGAAGUGAUUCAUAUUGAUAGAUACAUUUGUUGGGAGGUGGCUUUUUUCAUUCUCAACAGAAAACAAAGAAAUAAAUUAAGUCUUCCCCUGACCCAGAUUGUACUGUGAAACUUUUCAACAAUGUCUCUGCUUUCUUUUACUUCGGUAUCCUUUCCCCUUUUUCUUUUAAGACGCCCUUAGGGAAACCAUGAAGUAACCCUGCACAUUCCAGUAACACAGUUAUGACAAAACAAGAGCCUAACUAGGAAGUGACCACAUUUUAAAAAGUAUUUAGAAAGAAAAACACCAGAAACAAAAGUGCCCAUAACAAU